RNAcentral lists this ribosomal RNA (253 nucleotides) under uncultured bacterium. Its description in RNAcentral is "partial 16S ribosomal RNA". It matches the Rfam family "Bacterial small subunit ribosomal RNA", at positions 524 to 776 of the family's 1533-position model. The record is from RNAcentral.
UACGGGGGGUGCGAGCGUUGUCCGGAAUCACUGGGCGUAAAGGGCGCGUAGGUGGUUUGAUAAGGGUGUGGUGAAAGUCCGGAGCUCAACUCCGGAUCUGCCGUGCCGACUGUCAAACUCGAGGGCUGUAGAGGCAGACGGAAUUCCGGGUGUAGCGGUGGAAUGCGUAGAGAUCCGGAGGAAGACCGGUGACGAAGGCGGUCUGCUGGGCAGUUUCUGACACUGAUGCGCGACAGCGUGGGGAGCAAACAGG